CCGGAUUCCGAAGCCCGGAGCCGUUUACAGUUUGAGGCGCCGUGUGCCGCCCCCUGGUGGCCGGAGGCCGUUACUGUCGCGGCUGAGGGGGCGUCCCGGUGUAUCCGCAGCGCGCCCUGGCCGCCCUCUGGUGGCCGGAGGCCGUUACUGUCGCGGCUGAGGGGGCGUCCCGGUGUAUCCGCAGCGCGCCCUGGCCGCCCCCUGGUGGCCGGAGGCCGUUACUGUCGCGGCUGAGGGGGCGUCCCGGUGUAUCCGCAGCGCGCCCUGGCCGACCCCUGGUGGCCGGAGGCCGUUACUGUCGCGGCUGAAGGGGCGUGUCCCGGUGUAUCCGCAGCGCGCCCUGGCUGCCCCCUGGUGGCCGGAGGCCGUUACUGUCGCGGCUGAGGGGGCGUCCCGGUGUAUCCGCAGCGCGCCCUGUCCCGCCAUAUACAUUCCGUGCUUUUCAAACACCCGCCGUGGGCUAAGCAUGGGACCCACGUGGGGCGGGGACACACGGCGAUAAAGAGCCAGGCCCUCGCUGCCAAGGAGCUUUCCCGUAACACCGAUGCAUCAAACAAAAGAUAUUAAAGACAUUGGCGGUAACACUGGAAUGGAUGUGAAGAUGGGAGAGGUCUACCCAUAGCCCAUUCUACAGAGCAGAACUGAGGCUCAGAUAUUGAGGUAGAUUAAAGAUGGCUGCCAGUUCAGUGCCACUUGUCCCGUUGAACUGUGAAGUCUUAUCCCCCUCCUUGGGUCUGCACCAGCCUUGAUGACUUGCUCACUACAAUGUGGUAGAAGUGAUGGUGCAUGACUUCCAAGGUUAGAUCAGAAGAAGCCUUGAAGUUCCUGCCUUGGUCUCUUGAAACAACUUACCGUGUAAGAAGUCUGACACCCUGAGACCGCCAUGUUGGCACAGUUAUGGGUGGAUGCUCCAGUAGAUGGAUCCAGCUGAGCCCAGCCCUCCAGCCAUUCCCACCCCCAAACCAUGGGUGAAACUGUCUUGGACCCUCCAGUCCAGCCCACUCAACAUCUAAAUACCACAGACUGACCUCAGCUGAUACCAUCACCCAGUUAAAAUGUGCCUGAAACUGACCCACAAAAUCAUGAGAUAAACUAAAAUGGUUGUUGUCCUAAGCCACUAAGAUAAUAGAGCAGAUAUAUAUGCACUUAACACUC
This 1155-nucleotide long non-coding RNA is filed under the name Homo sapiens (human). RNAcentral's name for it is "non-protein coding LINC01191:4". The record is from RNAcentral. Lineage: Eukaryota; Metazoa; Chordata; Mammalia; Primates; Hominidae.